This 21-nucleotide microRNA is filed under the name Pan troglodytes (chimpanzee). Its description in RNAcentral is "ptr-miR-587". Its record names the gene ptr-miR-587. The record is from miRBase by way of RNAcentral. Lineage: Eukaryota; Metazoa; Chordata; Mammalia; Primates; Hominidae. RNAcentral also lists the same sequence under 2 other names.
UUUCCAUAGGUGAUGAGUCAC